CCUUUUUUUAAACUGUGAGUACACUAGUUCAGUCCUAAGCAUGACCACAGAAUUUCUAAACAACACAACCUGGAAAGUCCUAACUACAUAAGAAUACGUGAUGAUAUCGAAACCUGCCAAAAAAUAUUAGAAAUUCGACAAACUAACGUAAUACAAACUUUGCAUUAUCUUUUAUGAUAUUCGACAAACUAACCAUCCUCUAUUCCUUUUUUAAAGUUUGGAUCAAAGCAGAGUAGCAUACUUAAAAUUUAAAGUUAACAAAAUCAACCAAUGAUUCUUUAGUAAUCCAAUCAUCAAUAAAAUUGUAAAAAUAAUUUCAAUAAUUUGAUCAUAUCAUAAGAGAAACAGGGGAAGUACUUUUUUCUAAUCCAUUUUCUUCAACUAAAUAGUGCCUAGAAAAAUACCAUAUGCUAUUUAGUAGUUUUCUUUUUUUGGGUUCUUCACAAUAACAGUAUAACGUUUCUAUAUGUUUCUAUAACAACAUAACACCCCCAAUAAAUCCUUCAAACAUAUCACAAUACCCAAACAUUGCGUGAAUAACCAACCAACCAUCCAAAAAUCUCAUUUACCCAACACAACAACUCAAACGUACAACAUGCUCUUAUGUAUUCUUAAGCACCAACAUGAAAUAUACAUACCUUCUUUAGAAGUCGACGAACGGAUUCGGGGAGAAGAUCGUUCGACGAUGACCGCAAAAAAACAAACUCCACUCUCGCACGUCUAAAACCACACAACUAACUCCGAACACACUGUCAACAGUCGCCUGCAACCGCACAACACUCCUCCUCUACCGUCGCCUACAAUGCCUCUCCAACUACACGCCUCUUCAACAAAAAAAGACCAAGUUCCUCUCAACCCAGACCCAAUGGCAAGGUAACAUUGCUAUUAAUACUGUUUACCUCGGGAUAAACAACAGGUAAAUUAAUGAGUAUAGACUAGCUACUAGAAUGGAGAGAGAGAAAUAGAUAAUAAGGAUCGACUGUAACGGCCACCUCAUCGGCCUUGCGUCAUCAGUGGUGAACCUGAUGUGAACCGAAUACGCGAUUUUCUGAUGACGAGCGGAAGAAAAGCUACUCAGAAUUCCACAAUUCGGAAGGAAAUGAAAUCGCAAAGGAGUGAGGGAAGCUCCGAACGGCGGAAAACUCCCAUCCCCGUAGUAGGAGAGAUUGGGGCGGAACCCGCUAGAUCAGCGUUGUUGCAGAGAGGGAGGCAUCGGGGGUAUUACGCCAACGCUCGAAGCCACCUCUAUGAAAGAUCCCGAUCUCCCAUCAUCAGGAGAGAUCGGAGAAGGUAGGUCACAUUGGGGGAGGUCACCCGUGGAGGAAUCCUCGGGAGAGACGAAUGGACUCGGGCCCACCGAUCGGGAAGACUUGGCAAAAGGACCCCGACCGAGGAAUCGUCGGAAGGGUGUAGGGACCGAAUCUCCCACCGGGAGCGGGAGGACCGAGCCUCGGCCAACGAAGUCACAUAACAGCUACUUUUGGCGAUCACUGACCUCCAAGAAAACCAGAAACAACUGCAAGAGAAAAUAUCCCGAAUGAUAGAGGGUAGGGAGCCCAGGAGCGAAUUCCCUGGUACCACACCUAGUGGAGGAAGCCCACCCGAUGGGAUGGAAGGCACCCCACCUGACGAUGUACAAUGGGACUACGGACCUGGAGGACCAUCUGAAGAGACAUAUGGUGCCGCAUGUUUUAGAAAACAUUGUUGGGCCACACGAUCGGGUGGUACCGAGGUCUUCCCCUGCACAACAUACAAGCAUUCGAGGACCUCGAGAGGUUGUUCCGUAUAGCCUUCGACUUCCACACUCGACGAAAGAAGUGGGUAGCAACCCUACUGGCAGUAUUGCAGGGGGACGGCAAAACCCUUAGGGACUACAUGAAUUGGUUCACCACGGCGCUCCAGGACCUAGAGGAAGCAUAGGAACCGACCAUAAUGAUGGCCCUAUUAAAUGGCCUGAGAGGAAUACGUUUUGCAGUCGAACUCAUCGAAAACAAGGUCAAGACAUUUUUCGAGGCCAUGUACCGGGCCCAGGGAGCCAUGAAUAUAGAAGAAUACCUUGCCCCGAAAUUCAAACAAGCAUUACAUCAACAUAAGGGGAAGGUCAGAGGACAAAACCUUGAGCAGCGUAAGGAGGCAAGAGCAACCUCCUACGAGGUACUACGCCAACCUAAGGCACCUAAACCCCAGAGUAAAAAAAGGCUCCGUAUACAACUCCCCGGAAACCAGAAGAAUCCGUUCAAAACCAGAGGGAGGUCUUCCUAGUAUUAAAAGGAGCAGGCACACUCCCCAAGGUAUAACCAAUGAGGAUCGAGUAUGCGACGUAUCGUAAAAAUGAGAAAUACUACGAAUACCAUGAGGAGUUAGGACACACCAUAGCGGAAUGCAGAAGCCUGGCGAGAACUAUCGAUCAGACAAAGGCUCCUGAAGGAGCACCCGCCCGACCCCGGCUCUAAGAACGGUCGUUAUACCAACCAACCAUAGAACCCCGAAGGUGGAGCCAGACGAGCUGAAGGUGAAGCUGGACGAGCCGAAGAUGGAGGAUAUAUUCGCUAUAUCGGGAGGGGAUACCUCCUGGGCCCAAAACCCUACGGAGGCCCACCGUUACACCAUGGACCCGACAAGGGCAGCCCUGGGAAAGAAGAGGAAGCUUGCGGAGGAGAUAUCUUUCACGGAUAUAGACCUGGUGGACAUAACAACAUCUCACCAUGACCCACUGGUUAUCAUACUAAUGUUCAAAAGAAGAAACGACGACCAGGUCAAGUUAUACUUCACGCGUUCAAUUUGUGUGAGUCCCGACCAAGAAAUGCACUAGAGUGCUAUCCGUGGGAGGCCCGACCAAGGAAUGCACUCUAGUGCGAUCCCGACCAAGUACUUCACGCGUGCAAUUCGUGUGAGUCCCGACCAAGGAAUGCACUUUAGUGUGAUUAGUGGGAAUCCCGACCAAGAAAUGCCCUCUAGUGUGAUCCCGACCAAGGAAUGUACUCUAGUCCGAUCCCGAAUAAGUACUUCGCGAGUGCAAUUCGUGUGAGUUCCGACCAAGGAAUGCACUCUAGUGCUAUCCGUGGGAGGCACGAACAAGGAAUGCACUCUAGAUCGAUCCUUGGGAGACCCGACAAAGUAAUGCACUCCAGCGCGAUCCCGACCAAGGAAUGCACUUUAUUCAAAUCCCGAAUAAGUACUUCGCGUGUGCAAUUUGUGCGAGUCUCGAACAAGGAAUGCACUCUAGAGCGAUCCCGAAUAAGUAAUUCACGCGUGCAAUUCGUGUGAGUCUCGACCAAGGAAUGCAAUCUAGUGCGAUCCCGAACAAGGAAUGCACUCUAGUUCGAUCUCGCACAAGGAAUGCACUCUAGUCCGAUCUCGAACAAGGAAUGCACUCUAGUCCGAUCCCGAAUAAGUACUUCGCGCGUGCAAUUCGUGUGAGUCCUGACCAAGCAAUGCACUCUAGUGCGAUCCCGAAUAAAUACUUCACGCGUGCAAUUCGUGUGAGUCCCGACAAAGGAAUGCACUCUAGUGCGAUCUCGACCAAGGAAUGCACUCUAGUGCGAUCCCGACCAAGCACUUCACACGUGCAAUUCGUGUGAGUCCCGACCAAGGAAUGCACUCUAUCGCUAUCCGUGUGAGUUCAAAAUGAAAGAAUGCACUCUAGUGCGAUCCUUGGGAGGCCCGACCAAGGAAUGCACUCUAGUGCGAUCCCGACCAAGCACUUCACACGUGCAAUUCGUGUGAGUCCCGACCAAGGAAUGCACUCUAUUGCUAUCCGUGUGAGUCCAAAUCAAAGAAUGCACUCUAGUGCGAUCCUUGGGAGGCCCGACCAAGGAAUGCACUCUAGUGCGAUCCUGACCAAGUACUUCACGCGUGCAAUUCAUGUGAGUGCAGACCAAGGAAUGCACUCUAUUGCUAUCCGUGUGAGUUCAAAAUGAUAGAAUGCACUCUAGUGCGAUCCUUGGGAGGCCCGACCAAGGAAUGCACUCUAUUGCGAUCCCGACCAAGCACUUCACGCGUGCAAUUCGUGUGAGUCCCGACCAAGGAAUGCACUCUAUUGCUAUCCGUGUGAGUCCCAAUCAAGGAAUGCACUCUAGUGCGAUCCUUGGGAGGCUCGACUAAGGAAUGGACUCUAGUGCGAACACGACCAAGUACUUCACGCGUGCAAUUCAUGUGAGUCCCGACGAAGGAAUGCACUCUAGUGCUUUCCGUGCGAGGCCCGAACAAGGAAUGCACUCUAGUGCGAUCCCGACCAAGGAAUGAAUUCUAGUGCGGUCCCGACCAAGGAAUGAAUUCUAGUGCGGUCCUGACCAAGUACUUCACGCGUGCAAUUCGUGUGAGUCCCGACCAAAGAAUGCACUCUAGUGUGAUUAGUGGGAAUCCCGACCAAGAAAUGCCCUCUAGUGCGAUCCCGACCAAGGAAUGCACUCUAGUCCGAUCCCGAAUAAGUACUUCGCGAGUGCAGUUCGUGUGAGUCCCGACCAAGGAAAGCACUCUAGUGCUAUCCGUGGGAGGCACGAACAAGGAAUGCACUCUAGAUCGAUCCUUGGGAGAGCCAACAAAGGAAUGCACUCCAGUGCGAUCCCGAACAAGGAAUGCACUCUAUUAAAAUCCCGAAUAAGUACUUCGCGCGUGCAAUUUGUGCGAGUCUCGAAAAAGGAAUGCACUCUAGAGCGAUCCCGAAUAAGUAAUUCACGCGUGCAAUUCGUGUGAGUCUCGACCAAGGAAUGCAAUCUAGUGCGAUCCCGACCAAGUAAUGCACUCUAAUGCGAUCCCGACCAAGUACUUCACGCGUGCAAUUCGUGUGAGUCCCAACCAAGGAAUGCACUCUAGUGCGAUCAGUGGGAGUCCCGACUAAGAAAUGCACUCAUGUAAAAUCCCGAACACGGAAUGCACACUAGUCCGAUCUCGAACAAGGAAUGCACUCUAGUCCGAUAUCGAACAAGGAAUGCACUCUAGUCCGAUCUCGAACAAGGAAUGCACUCUAGUCCGAUCCCGAAUAAGUACUUCGCGCGUGCAAUUCGUGUGAGUCCCGACCAAGCAAUGCACUCUAGUGCGAUCCCGACUAAAUACUUCACGCGUGCAAUUCGUGUGAGUCCCGACAAUGGAAUGCACUCUAGUACGAUCUCGACCAAGGAAUGCACUCUAGUGCGAUCCUGACCAAGUACUUCACGCGUGCAAUUCGUGUGAGUGCAGACCAAGGAAUGCACUCUAUUGCUAUCCGUGUGAGUCCAAAUCAAAAAAUGCACUCUAGUGCGAUCCUUGGGAGGCCUGACCAAGGAAUGCACUCUAGUGCGAUCCCGACCAAGCACUUCACACGUGCAAUUCGUGUGAGUCCCGACCAAGGAAUGCACUCUAUUGCUAUCCGUGUGAGUCCAAAUCAAAGAAUGCACUCUAGUGCGAUCCUUGGGAGGCCCGACCAAAGAAUGCACUCUAGUGCGAUCCCGACCAAGCACUUCACACGUGGAAUUCGUGUGAGUCCCGACCAAGGAAUGCACUCUAUUGCUAUCCGUGUGAGUCCAAAUCAAGGAAUGCACUCUAGUGCGAUCCUUGGGAGGUUCGACUAAGGAAUGGACUCUAGUGCGAACACGACCAAGUACUUCACGCGUGCAAUUCAUGUGAGUCCCGACGAAGGAAUGCACUCUAGUGCUUUCCGUGCGAGGCCCGAACAAGGAAUGCACUCUAGUGCGAUCCCGACCAAGGAAUGCACUCUAGUCCGAUCCUGAAUAAAUACUUCGCGCGUUCAAUUCGUGUUAGUCCCGACCAAGGAAUGCACUCUAGUGUGAUCCCGAAUAAGUACUUCACGCGUACAAUUCGUGUGAGUCCCGACCAAUGAAUGCACUCUAGUGCGAUCCUGACCAAGUACUUCACGCGUGCAGUUCGUGUGAGUCCCGACCAAGGAAUGCACUCUAGUGCGAUCCCGACCAAGAAAUGCACUCUAGUGCGAUCCCGACCAAGAAAUGCACUCUAGUGCGAUCCCGACCAAGGAAUGCACUCUAGUCCGAUCCCGACGAAGUACUUCACGCGUGCAAUUCGUGUGAGUCCCGAC
Molecule: long non-coding RNA, 6031 nt
Filed under: Zostera marina
Lineage: Eukaryota; Viridiplantae; Streptophyta; Magnoliopsida; Alismatales; Zosteraceae
Description: long non-coding RNA (ZMAR_LNC004450)
Source: RNAcentral